AUGAUUUUCUUCAAUUUUUCCAGAAGUCUUUUGGAAACUUUUACCCAUAGUGUAAAGAAAUCUGCACAUACCAAAAUGAGCAGUGAUGCUGAUUUAAAAAUAAAAACUUGCAAUAUUGCACCCUUCAAGGUGUUCUCAAUCAGUGUCUUGCCUCGCUUCUCUGAUGUGCAAAUGAAGCUCGUCCAGUAUGUGUUACUCAAGAAAGAAUUAAGAAAAUUGAAGUCAGAAUAUCUGAACUUGGAUCACUUGCAAAUAAGGAAGAUCUGCAUGCACGUGUUCUUUAAAGAUAAUGUUGAACGGAUCCAGAAACUGUUUUGGUAG
RNAcentral lists this long non-coding RNA (321 nucleotides) under Anser cygnoides (Swan goose). Its description in RNAcentral is "lncRNA (ENSACDG00005017774.1)". The record is from RNAcentral. Lineage: Eukaryota; Metazoa; Chordata; Aves; Anseriformes; Anatidae.